UUCAAAAGACGUUUAGAUGUAGAACUUAGGGAUAUGGUUUAGUGGGGACUGUUAGUGUUAGGUCAGAGGUUGGACUCGAUGAUCUUGAGGUCUCUUCCAACCUAGAGAUUCUGUGAUUCUGUCCAUGUGGUUCUGUGAAGCACUUUGCCACUGUCAUAUAGAUUCAAGUACCAAAAGCAACAACAAAGGAUCUUCCUGCUUGUUACUUUCAUGAAAGCUCUUGAAUAACAGCUUAAUUCCUAAUUAUGAGACUGUUUAACACAGGCUUCAUGCAAGUUUUAUACAUAUUAUUUUAUCCUUGUAUAUUUUGAAUACAAGCUGUAUCACAGAUAUUAAACAGUGCUUUAGCUGUAAUGGCCUAUUGAAUUUGUGCUUUUUAGAGAGUAAAUUAUUUUCAUAAUGGAGGGUAAUAGCUCUGCUUUGUCAAUCCAUCAUCAAUUCAUGAACGCUGCAGGGUGUCUGUGCAACCUCAUGUUCAAGGAAUUAUAUAUGCAACUCCUGUCAUUGUUUGUUGUUCAAUAAACAGCUUCAAAUGACUAAAGCUGUGUGUGAGCUGUUACUUAAAGGCUAAAGUAUUUGCCAGAACUGUCACUGCCCUUCUAGCAGAGAGCAUGUUGUUUGUGAAUGCUCAGAGAGAUAUCUUGAAUUGAGAUUAUUAACUACAUGGCAAUCAGUUUUCCUUCAGUGUUAAUUGUGCUGCUGAAUCCUGGGAUACUGUGUUAAAAAAGAAUUCAGAAGUCAAUGCCACAUCAUGGAUGCAUUUUUGUGCUUUAAAGGACAGGUGUCAGCUUGUGGGCACAGCCUGCCUAUAAAAACUAUUUUUGCCAUGAACUUUACAUUUUCGUGCACAGGAUGGAUGCUUGUGGUGUUUGUACACAUAUGCACCACAACUGCCUACUUCCACGGCACUGCCUCGCCAUCUCUAAUGUAUGAUCAUUGUCCGUUACGGCGGGGGGGGGCUAGGAAUUACUGACAGGUUUCUGAUGUGUAAGAAAAGCCUUUACAUUACAACAAAAAGUCCUGCCUGGUGCAUCUGAGUCACUGUUAAACGGUAUCAAGUUGUAGAAUUUUACAAAUGGAAAAAUAAUAGUCCCGUUCUUCCCCCACAAAUGUGUAUGCAUAGCACUACCGAUAAUGCUUGGUAAUUGGAUUAAAUAUCAGUUCCCUUUUAUACUCAGGCUGUGCAAACAGGUUGUAAAUUAUGGAGUAAAAGUGUGUGGUUUGUAAAUACCUAGUAAUAAGUAGUAUUCAUACAUCCUGGACUACAGCGUCAAAAAUGGUGCUGAUUUAAUGAGUCAUAAGCAUUCCUGAGCUCACUGGAGCAGGUUGCUGACAGACCUGGUUGUCUUGCCUUCGUGGUGUGUCCAAGUCUUCCUUUCCCCAGGCAGCGGUGGGAUUUGAUCAUGGUAGCUGAAUAUCUUGAUAAAAUUGUGGUAACAGGUUACAGAUGAUACCUUUCACCCUGCACAAUUCCUGAUUGCUUUUCAUAAUAUAACAUUGCCUUAAUGCUGCAAAUACAGCUGUACUGGCAGAAAAAUACGUUGUGCAAAGGUAUGGAGGAAAGGGAGGUUUCCUUCAAGGAUGAGGGAACACAGCAGCAUUAUGAGCUUCCUGCUAUCCACAAGUACUUCUGUGAAAUCCUUCAUGAGAAAUGCUAGUUUUGUGGUGUCAGAAACCAAGUGAGUUUUUCUCUCUUUUGGCUCUCAUCCAGGGUGGCUAGUGAAGUGUUUUUGUUCUUGCCUGUGUUUCCUAGGUCAGAAGUAAAAAUAAUAAUAUAAAAAUACUCCUUGCUCUGUUCCAUCUAUUCGCAGAAUAAUUUCAGUAGGGUGAAGGAGAAAGGUCUCUUUCAAGGCCAGUUCCAAAUUUCAAAGUUGUUCUGGUAUCACUGCAUAGGGGCUGGGGUUAUGAAAAAUUGCUCCUCCCUCUUAGAAACCACAUUGUUAAACUUCUCUGUAUGAAUGAAACUAACUUAGUGUUUUUCCGUCCUAGUUCUGAGAUUGAAUGUUUCCUUCCAAACAAGGAAGGAAAACGUUAGCACUCUUUCAAAUCAAAAUAAAAUCACAUCUUCCUGAUUUCAAAGCCUAUCCCUCUUGGCAAGUCUCAUUGAUUAUCCCAGACAGGUGUUUUUCAACAAAAGCUCUUCUUGCAUUGUCUCUUCCUGUGUAGCCUCCUACAUGAGCUAAUGAAGCUUCAGUGAUGUCUCUGGAACACAAUGCAGCAAUUUAUAUAACUACAGGUUGGCGAGAACAAAUAAGGAAUCAUAAUUGAGGAAGGGCACUGAAGAGAGGCUGUGUGAGCAAGGAUCUUCUAUCUGUGGAAAGAGAUAUUUCAUUAUUGGUGAUUAGGGAGGAAGCAUCACAGAGCCAAAAAGAAAGUAGCUGUGAUGAAAAAUGUUCUUUGAUAGUUUAUUGAUAUGCAGACACUGCUCUAUGAAAGGACCACAGACCUCGUUAUUGUGCCCUUUCCAUCCUCUAGUUAAUGGAGUGUAGAUUUGUAUUAAGGGAGCUGACAUUGCCUCCAAGCGGGUCUUACAGUAAGUCAUUUAGCCUGUUUCUUUAAAAAGCUCCUGAGUACAAUUUAUAACUGCAUGAAUACUGUUUACUAACACUCCAUGCAUAAAUUGGAUCCUUCUCUCUGGAAAUAGUUGUUUGUUGUUUUUUUUUUUUUUUUUUCCUCUGUGUCUGUGCUUCCACAACUACUUGGUGCAUAUUCAAAAUUACAGCAAAUCAUCUUUUAUGUUUUUUUAUUUAUUUUUUUUUUAAAAACAGGUCCUGUCUGCUUUUUUGUGUCUAGACGAUAGAAAUUGGGCAACUUUUUUAAGAGGUACGGUAGCAGAGAAUACGUGUGUGUUUUGGUAGGUUAGUUGAUGAGGAGCCCUGCAUUGCCUAAUGGUAACGCUUUUUCACAGUUCAUAUUUGAUUAUGCCGAGAUGCUCCCUAGUCCCUGCCUCUUCCAAGUGCAUAUAGACAUUUAUAUUCCGAACACUAAAAACCAGCAGAAUUCCAAUACUCCUUUUACCUUAUUUGAAUUAGUCAUCAGCUACCCUGAAACUUCAAACUAGCUGAUAACAUUCUGAGUAUGAAAACCAGGCUCAGGUGUGACCUCACAUACAGGCAUAAGUAGUUAUUUCGCUUUUGUAUUUGGCAAGGCAGGAGGAAGGAAUGGAAGUAUCUUCCCUGCAAAAUUUGCCAGUGAAUAAAAUCACUUACAGCUAAGUUUAGGUAAGUAUCAGAAGUCAUCUUUUAGAACCAUAGGAUACAGACAGAUAGAGAAGGGCUUUGAUUAUUACCUGCUGUUUUGAAUACUAGGUAAAACAGACAGGAACGAUUCCUCCUUCCUUUUCUUUAGGUGUAAUUUAAAGUAACGUAACUUUUCUUUUAUCAGACUGAACAAUAUAGUAGUCCUCUCUUUGUGAACAAAUGAAGACAAACACAGCUGGAAACUAGUCUCUUGUUCACGUUCUGACUUUGUCUGUUUUUAGGCAGACUAGUGGAUUUCAUGAGUCACAGGAAGAGAGAAGGUUAAUGUUUUCAGAUCUAAGUUUCAUGUAAUGUGCUCUGGAAAAGAACUAGAAUUGGAAAGAAUUAAGUGUUAUGCGCUCACCACCAACUGUGUGUGCCAUCAAGAACCUACUAAUCAUCGCGAAUCUGGGAGGAUAAAGCAGGGGCAGAGUUACUCCCCUCUCAGCUGCCAUGCCAGGACUCACCGCUCUUGUCACCGAGAGGAAUCUGUCAUAGCUGAUCAGCACGAUGUUGAAGACCGAGGAGGUGCAGAGCAGAGUUGCACAUAGAUUUACAAGCUGGACAGAGGAGGAAUGGAGAAGUUCUGCUUCCCAAGAACUCUUGUGCAAAUAAAUGAAGUUUCCAUGUGGGCUGCUUAUUCUGACCACCGAAGACAGUGCUGGGAUUUGCUCAUCUCAGCGGAGCACCUUCUUCUACAGGCCAGGGCAUAUGAGACACCUGUGAGCCUGAAGAUUUGUGGCAAGCAGACAGAAGACAGCGAUGUGCAAUUUUUCCAUGUGGAAGUAGCUAAUGAAGGCUGUAGUGGUGCGAGGGUAAAUGCUGCGCUUCGAGCCAAAGCCCUCCCCGCGUGCCAACGAGGAGAGAGUACCUGCAAAAUCCGCUUCCAAGUGGCAGGGCUUGAAAAAUGGCAGCACGCUUUGCAUAGGGAAUGGCCAGGCCGAGGAAACCCAGCAGAGGUGAGCCAGGUUCCCCUCCUGCCCUCUUGCUAGGUCCCGUCCCCGGCAGAGCUGGUAACUGGGAAUAAAUCCAAACGUGAAGCAGUCCCUGGGCAGUGCUGGGGGAGAGCAAGGCUCUUUGUCUGGGCUUCUCCCUGCUGGAAGCCCUCAGCUAGCAGCCAGCUGGCGAGGCUCCUUCCUGCCUGCCCUGGCCAUUGGGGCUGGGUGGCUGGAACACAGGGAUCGUGCUCUGGGCUGGGGAAAAGGCAGGCAGGGCUGCGUUUUUGGUGGCCACACAGAGCUUGGUGACUGCAUUGUCCCUGGCCUUGGCCACCUGCUGGCGUCACAGCCCCCAGUGCUGCAGCAGGUUUGGCUCUGGGUUCAGGAAUUUGGGUUUUAUGCAUGGAAAUGGGGAUGUGGAGAGGUUCUAGCAUUCGUAUGCUGGCAGCACAAGGGAAUGGCUACUUGUCAGCUGCAAAUUCAACCCAUCUGCCUUGGUCAUUAGAGACUUCCAGCUUGGCAUUUAGCUUAGACAAGGUAAUGGACUCUUUUUUUUGCACUGUGCUCAAUCUGAAUCUGUCUUACUUUUCAGUUUCCAAAUAUAUACACGAUAACCAAAAUGAUUCAUGGUACUUUAAUACCUCGAGUUAUGCAGUCCCUUCCUUCCCAACAGUCCUUUCUUCAGUUCUGAUGGCCAUUCUUUAACCUAAUAAUUUUUUUUCUCACAUUUUCUGGAAGAGCUCCCUUAGACAAAAAUAAUGCUGAACAUGUAAGACAUCACUGUGAAUAUCAAUUAAGGGUUUUCUUCUCCUUCUGCUCCCCAUUCCUCCUCUGGGCUAAAAGCAAGCACAGUCAGCUGUAGCUGACACAGAAGCUGAAGAGAGAGGCAUCGUAGUUACUCUGCCUGUCGGGGUUGCUUGUACAGCAGACGUCAGAUCCCGAGCCAAACUUUCCAACUCCAUCUGGGACAGGAGCUGAUUUUUUUGUUCAUGCUCAAAUAUUCCUUAUAUUUUAUGAUUUGCUUUUGUGGAAUGUCACAAUGAGACCAUUUUUAUACUUUUCCUUUUUUAACCAAUCUGCAAAUGAGAAUCAUUUAUUUCUGGAAAGUUUACGUGAUGAUUUUCAAGCACAAAAGAUACUGAAGCACAAAAUGAAUGUGGAUCUUAUUUUGAUGGAUGUGUGUGAAUUAGUGGUUACUAAUUAGUUCUAGUGGUUGCCUAGGGACCAGUUAACAGGACUUUGUUACAUUCAGCACAGAAAACUGUCCCAGCAAGUAAUAUGUGCGUAUAAAUAUUUGUUGGAUUGAUGGUGGUAAUUUUGCAAAGAUAAAGAAAAUUACAUGCUGCACUGACUCAGAGCAGCCUAUAGUUUAUCAGUAAAAAAGCUUAUCUGCAAUACACCCCCACCUUUUCUUUUUUCAGGUGUUAUUGGCAGCUACAAGUGGUAAGGUUAAAGUCCGGGACUUUUUAUAAAAUUGCAGAACCUGUUCCCAGGGGUAGUGCCUGCCUGAGCUCUGUGCUGCAUGGUGAGGAGGUGACACCCUGCUGGAGGGCAGUUGUCCCCAUGCUGGGACCUCUGCCAGUCCAGGUGGCUCCUCUCCGUGCUGUGGGGCACAGUGUGGACGUGUCACCAGGUGUGCUUGAAAAUAUACAGGAAUGGUGCGUGCAUGCUACAGGAAACUCUCCUCUGCUGUCAUUUCAGCCACAAAGCAUGUGGAGAGGGAACUGGUGCUGAGCUGGGGAAACACUGUGCUACUGAAUUAAUAGUAUCUAAUUCUGUAAGGAACUUACUGAAAUUAAUUUACCUGACAUAAGCAACACCUCUGCAUUACCUGGGCAGUAGAAAUCUGUUUGUUUUUCUGACUUAUUGUGGGGAGAAUCCAAAGGAAAGUACCCUUUUGCUCUGGGCUGUGAGGAGCAUCCCUUCGCCCUGCCUCGUGCACACCUAUCCCGGUCAGCCGCUGGUGAUGGUGAGAUCCUGGAGACGGAGACAAGUUACCAAGGAAGCGCUCAGUCAGGUUAAAUCUUACUCACACAUCAGUUCUGAUCUUGCAUCAAUAAAUACAAUUAGCUUCUACUGACUUAAAUUUCCAGAAAGAAAGCAUCAUACAAGCUGUUGAAUUAGUCUCUGAUGUAAAUGCUGACAUCCAUAGGUAGAAAUUUGGUCCAGAGAGUACAAAGGUGACUUGCCACGCUGCUGUACAUGUAGCUAAAACCAGACAUUGUAAUUAGUUCUAAAUAAGGCACUCUUGUGGCCAAGUUUGACAAAUAAACCUCUAUUAGGAUAGAAAGCAUCAUUGACUGCUGGCAGAUAACUGGUGGCAGCGUGCUGGUGCAUGGGCGCUGGGAAAAUGGAGCAUCCUCAGGUUUGCUCCUGAAACAGAAAGAGCCGAGGCACGUUGGUGCCCAGCCUGCAGCAGGAGCAAGUUUCCAGAGAUUGGGCUCCGCAGGGGCUCUUCUGGUGCUUCCCAAGCCCUGUACAAAUGGGGGGGGGGGGGUGAUUAAAGCUGGGAGCUGACACUGACCCGUCCCCAUGUUGCCUUCUAUGGAGGUGGAAGGAACGCAAGGACCAUCCUCCCAGGGAGGGUGAGGCGGGAUACGGAGCUGACCUAGUUUUGCACAACUGUU
Anas platyrhynchos (mallard) is the source of this 6804-nucleotide non-coding RNA. NCBI's taxonomy places the organism in Eukaryota, Metazoa, Chordata, Aves, Anseriformes, Anatidae. The record is from RefSeq and is a predicted model, not a curated record.